RNAcentral lists this ribosomal RNA (497 nucleotides) under uncultured bacterium. RNAcentral describes it as "partial 16S ribosomal RNA". It matches the Rfam family "Bacterial small subunit ribosomal RNA", at positions 28 to 507 of the family's 1533-position model. The record is from RNAcentral.
GAUGAACGCUGGCGGCGUGCCUAAUACAUGCAAGUCGAGCGAACAGAUAAGGAGCUUGCUCCUUUGACGUUAGCGGCGGACGGGUGAGUAACACGUGGGUAACCUACCUAUAAGACUGGGAUAACUUCGGGAAACCGGAGCUAAUACCGGAUAAUAUUUCGAACCGCAUGGUUCGAUAGUGAAAGAUGGUUUUGCUAUCACUUAUAGAUGGACCCGCGCCGUAUUAGCUAGUUGGUAAGGUAACGGCUUACCAAGGCGACGAUACGUAGCCGACCUGAGAGGGUGAUCGGCCACACUGGAACUGAGACACGGUCCAGACUCCUACGGGAGGCAGCAGUAGGGAAUCUUCCGCAAUGGGCGAAAGCCUGACGGAGCAACGCCGCGUGAGUGAUGAAGGUCUUCGGAUCGUAAAACUCUGUUAUUAGGGAAGAACAUACGUGUAAGUAACUGUGCACGUCUUGACGGUACCUAAUCAGAAAGCCGCGGCUAACUACGUG